RNAcentral lists this ribosomal RNA (253 nucleotides) under uncultured bacterium. RNAcentral's name for it is "partial 16S ribosomal RNA". It matches the Rfam family "Bacterial small subunit ribosomal RNA", at positions 524 to 776 of the family's 1533-position model. The record is from RNAcentral.
UACAGAGACUGCAAGCGGUAUUCGGAUUCACUGGGCGUAAAGGGUGCGCAGGUGGCCAAGUGUGUUAGGCGUGAAAGCCCGGGGCUUAACCCCGGAAUUGCACCUAAAACUACUUGGCUAGAGCAUUGGAGAGGGGAGCAGAAUUCACGGUGUAGCAGUGAAAUGCGUAGAUAUCGUGAGGAAUACCAGAGGCGAAGGCGGCUCCCUGGACAAUUGCUGACACUCAGGCACGAAAGCGUGGGGAGCAAAAGGG